RNAcentral lists this ribosomal RNA (292 nucleotides) under uncultured bacterium. RNAcentral's name for it is "partial 16S ribosomal RNA". The record is from RNAcentral.
GGACUACCCGGGUAUCUAAUCCUGUUUGCUCCCCACGCUUUCGCGCCUCAGUGUCAGUUGCGGGCCAGGCAGCCGCCUUCGCCACUGGUGUUCCUCCCAAUCUCUACGCAUUUCACCGCUACACUGGGAAUUCCACUGCCCUCUACCGCACUCAAGACCGACCGUUUCGGAUGCAGUUCCCAUGUUAAGCACGGGGAUUUCACAUCCGACGCGUCCGUCCACCUACACGCCCUUUACGCCCAGUAAUUCCGGACAACGCUCGCCACCUACGUAUUACCGCGGCGGCUGGCAC